GACGAACGCUGGCGGCGUGCCUAAUACAUGCAAGUAGAACGCUGAAGGAGGAGCUUGCUUCUCUGGAUGAGUUGCGAACGGGUGAGUAACGCGUAGGUAACCUGCCUGGUAGCGGGGGAUAACUAUUGGAAACGAUAGCUAGUACCGCAUAACAGUAGAUAUCGCAUGAUAUCUACUUGAAAGGUGCAAUUGCAUCACUACCAGAUGGACCUGCGUUGUAUUAGCUAGUUGGUGAGGUAACGGCUCACCAAGGCGACGAUACAUAGCCGACCUGAGAGGGUGAUCGGCCACACUGGGACUGAGACACGGCCCAGACUCCUACGGGAGGCAGCAGUAGGGAAUCGUCGGCAAUGGACGGAAGUCUGACCGAGCAACGCCGCGUGAGUGAAGAAGGUUGUCGGAUCGUAAAGCUCUGUUGUAAGAGAAGAACGAGUGUGAGAGUGGAAAGUUCACACUGUGACGGUAUCUUACCAGAAAGGGACGGCUAACUACGUG
This 495-nucleotide ribosomal RNA is filed under the name uncultured bacterium. RNAcentral's name for it is "partial 16S ribosomal RNA". It matches the Rfam family "Bacterial small subunit ribosomal RNA", at positions 28 to 507 of the family's 1533-position model. The record is from RNAcentral.